ACGUAGGGGGCGAGCGUUGUCCGGAAUUAUUGGGCGUAAAGCGCACGUAGGCGGCUUUGUAAGUCUCACUGUGAAAGCCCGGGGCUCAACCCCGGGACUGCAGGGGAUACUGCGAGGCUUGAGUCAAGUAGAGGUUGGUAGAAUUCCGGGUGUAGCGGUGGAAUGCGUAGAGAUCCGGAAGAACACCGGUGGCGAAGGCGGCCUGCUGGGCAGUUGCUGACACUGAGGCGCGACAGCGUGGGGAGCAAACAGGA
RNAcentral lists this ribosomal RNA (254 nucleotides) under uncultured prokaryote. RNAcentral's name for it is "partial 16S ribosomal RNA". It matches the Rfam family "Bacterial small subunit ribosomal RNA", at positions 525 to 777 of the family's 1533-position model. The record is from RNAcentral.